Molecule: ribosomal RNA, 682 nt
Filed under: Mycoplasma wenyonii
Lineage: Bacteria; Bacillati; Mycoplasmatota; Mollicutes; Mycoplasmatales; Mycoplasmataceae
Description: bacterial SSU rRNA
Rfam family: Bacterial small subunit ribosomal RNA
Source: RNAcentral
AGAGUUUGAUUCUGGCUCAGGAUUAAUGCUGGUGGUAUGCAUAACACAUGCAAGUCGAACGAGUAGAACUUGUUCUGCUAGUGGCAAACGGGCGAGUAAUACAUAUUUAACUUACUUUUACGAGGAGGAUAGCAGUUCGAAAGGACUAUUAAUACUCCAUAGGUUUAUAAACUAAAUCAAAGAGGCUCCCUCGGGGGCCUCGCGUGAAAAUAGGAAUAUGUCCUAUUAGGUAGUUGGCGGGGUAAAGGCCCACCAAGCCAGUGAUGGGUAGCUGGACUGAGAGGUUGAACAGCCGCAAUGGGAUUGAGAUAUGGCCCAUAUUCCUACGGGAAGCAGCAGUGAGGAAUUUUUCACAAUGGACGAAAGUCUGAUGGAGCAAUACCACGUGAACGAUGAAGGUCUUCUGAUUGUAAAGUUCUUUUAUUUAGGAAAAAAAGCGCGCUAGGAAAUGAGCGCGCCUUGAUGGUACUAAUUGAAUAAGUGACAGCUAACUAUGUGCCAGCAGCUGCGGUAAAACAUAGGUCACGAGCAUUAUCCGGAUUUAUUGGGCGUAAAGGAAGCGUAGGUGGGGAGGUUGAUCCAUUGUUAAAGGCAUUUGCUUAACAAAUGUGUGCGAUGGAGAUCGCCUCCCUAGAGUUAAUCAGGGGGUACUGGAAUUCAAUGUGUAGCGGUGGAAUGCGUA